CUAACGUUACACAACAACAAAAUACAAAGCAGCAAUAGCAGUCAAAAGAAGCAUAACAAACUUAAGUACCUGCAACAAACCUUGGCCGCUGCAGUGAAGCACCAUAAAUCAUAGGACUAAAAUUGGACUCAUUAUAAUAAUAAUUCUCAAUCAAACUUUUCAAGAACCUAAAAUAAAGAGGUGACAACUCAAGAUCAUCCUCUACAACAAAUGCAAACUCAUCAUCUGAACUAGGCCACCAAGCUUCCAACCACUGAGCUUGAAGUCCAGCAUUUGAAGUCCUAUAAUGCACAAACUUUUCACCAAAUUCCCAAUUAAACCCAUCAACAAAAUCAAGAAUUUUUUUUGAAAGAUACAAUCUUUGGUCAAUUUCCACAUACCCUUUUGAGGAAUCUUGAAAAUGAUCAAUGUAGAUAUGUAAAUGAACAACAUGGUUAUCAUAUUUUGCUUUGGAAAGUGAAUUUAGGCAUCUUGAAAGGGACUCAAAACGAUUAAAGGUGAGAACUUUGAUGAUGAAAGUGAAGUUUUGGUGAGUUGGGCAUCUUGAAAGGGAAUCAAAACGAUUAAAGGUGAGAACUUUGAUGAUGAAAGUGAAGUUUUGGUGAGUUUGGGGGUUGUUGUAAGGGUUAAAAGAGAAAGAUUUGGUGGAAUUUAAGUUUGAUGGGUGAAAAGAGAAGAGGAAUUUUGAAAAGAGUGAGCAGUAUGAAAAGUGGGAUCAAAUUUUUCAGGGUUUUCUUGGGUUGUGCCAUAUGAUUGUAAUUUUGAUGAAUUAUAUCAUCACUUUUUUGAGGUUUUUGUGGAUUUUAUAACACAUAAAGUUUUCAUGUUGGAUCUUGAGAGUUGUGUUUGGGAGUGGAAGAAGGGAGAAGGAGAGUGAAUACUGAAGAUCA
Molecule: long non-coding RNA, 890 nt
Filed under: Nicotiana benthamiana
Lineage: Eukaryota; Viridiplantae; Streptophyta; Magnoliopsida; Solanales; Solanaceae
Description: long non-coding RNA (NBEN_LNC022193)
Source: RNAcentral